RNAcentral lists this ribosomal RNA (468 nucleotides) under uncultured bacterium. RNAcentral's name for it is "partial 16S ribosomal RNA". It matches the Rfam family "Bacterial small subunit ribosomal RNA", at positions 28 to 507 of the family's 1533-position model. The record is from RNAcentral.
GACGAACGCUGGCGGCGUGCUUAACACAUGCAAGUCGAACGGAAAGGCCCUGCUUUUGUGGUGUGCUCGAUUGGCGAACGGGUGAGUAACACGUGAGUAACCUGCCCUUGACUUUGGGAUAACUUCAGGAAACUGGGGCUAAUACCGGAUAGGAGCUCCUGCUGCAUGGUGGGGGUUGGAAAGUUUCGGCGGUUGGGGAUGGACUCGCGGCUUAUCAGCUUGUUGGUGGGGUAGUGGCUUACCAAGGCUUUGACGGGUAGCCGGCCUGAGAGGGUGACCGGCCACAUUGGGACUGAGAUACGGCCCAGACUCCUACGGGAGGCAGCAGUGGGGAAUAUUGCACAAUGGGCGGAAGCCUGAUGCAGCAACGCCGCGUGCGGGAUGACGGCCUUCGGGUUGUAAACCGCUUUCGCCUGUGACGAAGCGUGAGUGACGGUAAUGGGUAAAGAAGCACCGGCUAACUACGUG